AGGAAUUGACUUGUUUUAGGUGUUUUACUUAAUAGGGAAUGGAGUGUAAAUCUUCAACUACCCCAGUAACCGUGAAAUGGACAAAAUCUAGUUAAGCCACUGCAUAAUUAUUUAUGUGGGAAGGUUAGAUUGCGGAUGAAGUUAAGUCGGGAGACCUGCCUAAUAACGAUGGUACUA
Clostridium paraputrificum is the source of this 177-nucleotide regulatory RNA element. Lineage: Bacteria; Bacillati; Bacillota; Clostridia; Eubacteriales; Clostridiaceae. The record is from Rfam.